AAAGUCCUUUCUAGCCGUCAGAAACUCCAUUGGGGAGAGUGCUAUUCCCCCUCAAAAGUAGCAUAUUGCUUUCUAACCUCAGAGCCGGGAUUUCAGGGCUCUGGAAAAGGUGAGCACUACUAUUUAUACCCUUUGAUACUAAUAUAGUAUAUGCUUUUCUGCACAGUUGCUUUUCUGUUUUCUCUGCCUGGGACAAAGGGGUGUUUGCUGCCCAAAGAGCAUAAAGGAUCUUUUUACGGAGCCAAUACUAAAUAGGCUCCUGUCCAUGUGAGUGGUGAGUAAACCCCUUUACUGUUUAAAGCACUCCACUUGUUUGGUAUAAUACUUAUACCUUAUUUUUUGUAUUUGUUUUUUAUUGUGGGUAAGGGGUAUUCCACUUUUAGUGUUGAGCAGCUUCUAUCUUUUGGGCACUGUCAAGAAACACUCUCUAUCUCUUUGAGAUAGUUUGUUUGUUUUAUAUUCAAUUAUAUAAAUAUACACGUAGACUUCAAAUAUAUAAAUAUGCAUAUAUAUUUAAAUUCUACGUGCAUAUUUAUGUAAUAUUUUUACAUAAUUCAGUAAUUUAAUUGAUUGCAAUUUGAGGGACCUGCCUGCCAACCCAGGCCGACAGUCCAGAGAAUUUAAUUUGCUAGCACUAUAUUUUACCCUGUAAGUUUCUAUGAUACCCUAAUACUUGUACAUGGGGGGUACUGUUUUACUCAGGAGACUUCGCUGAACACAAAUAUUAGUGAUUCAAAACAGUAAAACAUAUCACACAUAAACAGCACUUUUACUGAUGAUAUAAUUGUUGUGAUACGUUUUCGAUUGUGAAACACUAAUAUGUGUGUUCAGCGAUGUCUCCCGAGUAAAACAGUACCCCCCAUGUACAGGUUUUAUAGCGUUUUUGAAAGUUACAGGGCCAAAUAAAUGGGUCAAAUAUUUUACAUUGAAAAAGGCCAGGUUGGUUACGUUGCCUUUGAGAGCGUAUGGUAGCCCAGGAAUGAGAAUUACCCCCAUGAUGGCAUACCAUUUGCAAAAGAAGACAACCCAAAGUAUUGCAAAUGGGGUACGUCCAGUCUUUUUUAGUAGCCACUUAGUCACAAACACUGGCCAAAAUUAGCGUUCAAUUUAGUUUUUUACUUUUUUCACACACAAACAAAUAUGAAUGCUAACUUUGGCCAGUGUUUUUGACUAAGUGGCUACUAAAAAAGACUGGACAUACCCCAUAUUGAAUACCCUGGGUUGUCUACUUAAAAAAAAAAAAUAUGUACAUGUGGGGUGGGAUUUAUGACAGAUAACAGUGUUACAAUGUCACUAUUGAUAAAUUUUAAAAAUGUAUGUUUUGAAACUGCAAUAUCCUACUUGUAGCUAUAGCCCUAUAACUUGCAAAAAAAAAUGUAAACACUGGGUCUUUUAAAACUCAGGACAACAUUUUGAAUCUAUUUAGCAGUUUUUUUAUUCGCUUUUGUAGAUGAGUAAAAGAUUUUUCAAGUAAAAGUUAAAAAAAAGUAUUUUUUUUUUUUCAAUUUUUCACCAUAUUUUUUUAUUUUUUUUAAAUUAAAUUACAUGAGAUUAUAUAAAUAAUGGUAUGUAAAGAAAGACCCUUUUUGUCCUGAAAAAAACCAUAUAUAAUUUGUAUAGGUCUAUCAUUGAUUCUCAAAACCUAGAAAACCAUUCAUAAUCAUACAAUUGUGCCAAAUUAUCAUGAGAAAAAUAAAUUAAUUUCCAUGAAACUCUAAACACCAAAUUAGUGAACUGAAAACUGAAUUGCAUAAUGUAGGGGAAAAAAAAUUAUUUGGAAGAAGUCUUUAACUCAGAGGUAAUCACAUGUUGUCUACUUAAAGGGAAACUAUAGAGCCCUUCUCCCCCCCUUCUUCCCCUUGGAGCAGAAGGCGGUAAAACCACUUCUGUCACUUACCUAAUUCCAGGGCCAAUGUUCCUCAACUUUGAAAGAGGCUCCACCUCCGCUCCUCCCCUGCUAACAUCAGACCUAAGGUGCAUGUGCGGCGAUGGCGGCGCUAGCCUUAGUACUUCCCCAUAGUAAAGCAUGCAUAAUGCUUUCCUAUUUGGGUUUUACAUGACGCUGGAUGUGCUCAUGCAUAGCGUAAGGGCCGUCUAACAACCAGAAAGUCUCUCUAGUGGCUGUCUUGUAGACAGCCCCUACAGGUGGAGUUAACCCUCAAAGGUAAAUAUUGCAGUUUAUUAAAAACUGCAAUAAUUAUCACUGCAGGGUUAAGGGACUUAGGAUACUGCAUCUAGACCACUUCAUUGAUCUGAAGUGGUCUUGGUGCCUAUAGUGUCCCUUUAAGCCUAGAUUUUGAAAUCCGUAUCUAAUUCACAACAAUUUAGUGUUUAUUGAAUAAAUCUGUAACGGAUCACCUGGCACCCCAACUGGGUACCUCCGUUGAAGGAUGCUCCUAGCACUUCCUGAGGACUCCAAGCACUGCAGCAGACACCACAACCACCGAACCAGAGAAGCAUACAAAUGCUCUCAAGCAUAUGAAUGCUGUAAGCAGCUGAACAGGAAAAGCAUACAAUCAGCUUACACUCCUGGCAAUCAGCAUAGAAUCCAAUUCCCCCAAUAACGAGACAACACUUCGUUUUGAGGUCAAGCAGAACUGACUGGACUGGCACGGCACAUACAGCCUCUUUUAUUCCUAAUCCACAAACAUAGUACUGCCCACAGGGUUUUACAGAACAACCAAUAACACACGUACAUUACAGAAAACACUCCCAGCAAUUAUACACAAAAUCCUCCCCUCUGCUUGUGAUCUAAUUAUGGCACACAAUGGUUUAACAUAAUUAUCACAAGCAGGAAAAAUACAGUAUCAUAAAACACAUCACAGGGACCCCAAAAGAUACAAUAACCCCAUAAAUAUCUUUGGAACCGGGGGAUCUGGGUGAACCACAUAUCCCAAAUUCACCCAGAUCCGUUCAGUACUUUGGAAGAUACAGUUUAAUGCAGAUUCCACAGAACAUAUGCAGGCUAUAUGAAAAACAAUUACUGUAUAAUGUGUCCCCUGUUGCAUAGUCCAAAACCACUGCACGAUGUCUCUGUGCACCAAAUACCAGCGAGAUGGCACCGUUUUGAAAAGUCCAAACAGUGUCUGUGAGUUAAAAUGUCCGCCAUCCAUUGUUCUCACCAUGCGCUUCAUCCAUUGUUCUCACCAUGUGCCUCUGAUACAGGAAAUGGUGGCCACCCAGUAACUCCACAGUAUGUCCCCAGAUGGAUCUUAAAGGGCCAGCAGCAGCACAACACAAAUCCAUUAUGCCCAAAUCAUGUCUUUAAAGGGCAAUAUAUCCCAGGGGCCAUAGUCACAUGGCAGGAGGCUGGCAAUCAGUCUUCUCCAAUGCCCAGUGGCAAGGUCGGUUUCGCCACAAAAUCCAUGUGACUUUUUUUUUUUUUAUUCUUUUUUUUUUUAUGUGCAUGAGAUAACAGAAACAGGCUUGCAAUGCCACAACAGCAGUUACAGGCAGUUCGAAAACAAGCAUAGGAGAACAUUUGCAUGGCAAUCACAGAAAAGGCACAAUUUUUAAAAAUGUUGAAUACAAGAUAAAUAAGUAUAUCUAAUGUGGUAGGUCACGUUGAGAUCGUCAAGCCGGAGACAUUAAACAUGUAGUGAUUCAUUCAAGUGUGUAUGAGCAACCGAUGUUAAAGAGCAAGGAGUAUGAUAAAAUAAUAGUGAAAAGACAAAUGAGUGAGUCAUACAUAGUGCGGAUUAAACUAAGUAACUCUAAAUUAAUAUAUGAUGUACUACAAUAUGGUGAUACACACACGAGUGAAACUUUUCUCCGGGACUGGUUAAUCAGGAAAGAGUAGGUAAGUGAUAUUAGCAUUGCAGGGGUGUGGAGGGAGAGAAGGAACAUCAGGUCUUAAAAGACCCAUUAACUAUUAAUGCAGAGUCAUGAUUAUUAGGCGUAGUAUCCGUUCAUUCCCAUUAAGUCACCAUGGUGCAAGUGUCCCCAUUCACCUGAUACCAGAUGUUGGCAGGCAUUCGGCGUAGGUCUGGGAAUAGUCCGAGGCAUUCCGUGCAAUGGCAUUCUCCUGUGCCGGAGCUGCAUAAUGUCGGCUGGUAUGGCUUCAGAUGCUUAGGGCUGUGUGUGGGAGAUCUCCGGUUGUGUGGAGGCCCAGACAGGCGGUAACUCAUGGUGGGUCUGCAUCAGUGUGUUCUCUUCACCCUCUUCUCCUGCUUCAUUGCGGUCAGUGGUUUGACAGUGCUCUUUGGAGCUGGUUUUGGUGUAAGUGGAGCAUUGGGCCAUCAAGAGACUUCAAUGGCUGCUUGAGUCUGUGUCAGUUUGGCCCACAGUUGUGCCCAGAAGUGGUCAAAGGCUUUUGCCUUGCAGUUCCCAUGGGGGGUCCCGCCAUCUGGACUCAGUGUAACCGCCAUCUUAACUUGGAGCAUGUGGACCUGUUUCUUGGUCCCUGUAAUCACUUUACCCAGGAUCAUGCACCGAUGGACGCCCAGUGAAGACCUGGAUAACACCUCCCCCCGGUCCAAAGGGGGGGGAGGGAUAGGAGUCCAACUGAGUCGCUGGGUAAGUCUAGUGUCAGGAAGAGCAUCCGCCUCUCCUCAGCUCCAGCUCUAGUAGGCUGCAGUUCAGCUUUCUGGUCUCCCGGCCUUGGCGGACUCGAGUGAGGUGUCAGUCGAUUCAGCAGUGCAACCCCGAUGUGUGAGGCUCACACAGUGCAACCCCGAUGUGUGAGCCUCAGAUUGUACCCCAAAAUCCACACGUUAGGCAGGAGCUCAUGCUGCCCACGUCUGCACUGCUCAGAGGUCAGGCUCCACCCCCAAAACCCAUGUAACUUUUAUAAAAAGAUAGAAGUGACAUCAGAAAAUAGUUUUCUUAAUCACUUUUUUUUUUGUAAAGUGCUCUUCGUUAAAUAACACUUUUUUUUUUUUUUUUUUAAUGUGCAGAAUUCAUAAAGGCUUUUUUUCCCCUCAAACAUAACUGUUUCUCUAUUAUGAAACCAGUGGUUUAUGAACAAUGUUGCUGAACUAAUUGCAUUGACAAAUGCAUUAUAAAUAAAAAUAAUCAAAUUGACUUGCAGUGAAAUGUGAUUGUUUUGGAAAACAUAGCAUACUCCAUAGGAAUAUCUGUGUUCCUGACGCAGACAGCCAUGUCUAUUAAUAAUGUAUACUGUAUGCUUCCUCCACACCACCACAGGUGAUUUGAUUUACAUCUACUCUUUAAAAACACAGCUUUAUGAUUCAUUUGUAGGGUAGUGGGUGGAAAGAAGCUGAAAUUUCCAUUAAUUUUGCUUUAAGGUGUUCAUUAUGGUAUGCUAAACAUUUUUUUUAAUUAACGCAAAAUCCGCACAUCCAUAAUUAUGUUUCUCCGUAAUGAAAUGGUUCACUUGAUUUGUGUGAUUAGAGUAUGUGUUUCUAAAACCGUCAACAAAUACAGAGCACAUCUAGCAUUAAUAUUAACAUUUUUUUUUCAUUUGCAUAUUCAAGUGUUCAUAUUCCACUUUUAUUUUAACAUGAUCAGUUGGAUAAAAUAAUUUGCAAAAACGUCCGAAAUGUACGGUAUGAAGAGCAAAUUUAGAUGAACUCUAAGAAGAUGCUAUAUCAAGUUCUCUUGGGCUAAAUUUAUGGAUGAGCUUUGCAAACCGAAAAUGAAAUCAUGCAAAAUUCAUGUUCAGAUUUUUGAUUUUCAAUCCAUCAACUUGUGCAUCCCUAUUCUCUGUUCAAUCAUAGAAGGCAUGCUACUGUUUUGUUAGAUUAGUUUUCAAUUCCCAUGCUGACUUUCCUCUUCUCACUAGAAUGCAGUCAGAGUUGUGAUGACCAUUGUAUUAUACUGACCGCUGAUAAACCUAAAUCCUGAUCCCAGAGUACAUGAAGAGGACCAGGCUACAUUAAUCUUAGUAAUAAACCAAAACUAGUUGCAAUAACAUGAUCAUCUAUUUACAGUUUGUGAAUGUAUCUCUAUGUAUUUGUGUAUGUAUAUUUUACGUAUAUAGCCCAAAUAAGCCUACUUGUAGAGGUUAAUUUACAGAAGCAACUAGGUUUGCUAAAUGUAAGACUUAACCACUUAGAUUAAGUUGUUAUGGUGGCUGGAGUCCACCAGUGCGGUGUUAACAUUUUAAAUCUCCUUGAAUGGUUUAAUAUUAAACAUGUGUCCCCCGGUGACCAUCUCUUGCCCUCCUCUUCUGCUUCUGCUGUAACAUAAUGGAGCUGGCACUGGCAAUGAUUGACUGGAAGUCUCCUCACGCUGUUGCUUCCACAUUACCUGGAACACAUUUCUAUUGUUAAACCCUUCGAGAACAGUUUAAAACUUAAAGGUAACAAUGUGCGGGGGGACCAUAACAACAUAACAGUUAAAGUUGUUAUGGUGCCCAUAGUAUUCCGCAUUACCCAUACAUGGAGACGAUUUACCUUAAAUAAUGGUUUAAUACUUAAAGAGAACACUGUGCCGGGUUGUAUUCCUCUAUAUCGAUACAUGCAUUAGAAUAGGACAGUGAUUCUCCUCUGUUCUUGUCUGCUGUGUCAGGACCCUAAAAGCACAUUAUAUUCAUUGGAGCACAAGCGACUAACUGAUUUCAAAAAAUGUUUUAUUAUUGUAGAAGACCCUAGGUACAAUAAAGACCAUGGCACUGGUAAAAGUCAAAUCAAGGGUUUUGACAGCAAACACUUUAGUGUAAAUUAUAUUGUGUAUGGAUCACUAUUAAUUUUGCAAUUUAAAUAUUUGUUUCAAAGCUAAUAUCGAAUAACUUCUAUUUCAAAGAGAUUAAGCACCACUGGGUUAUGCUUUCCUGUUGAAUAGAACUUGCAUUCGGAAUGGGAAUGGAGACAUACACAGAUUUACUACUCACAUGAGUUUUGGAGAAGUGAUAAUGGAAUUGUAAGAUUUAGGGCAAAAGUUAGUUAUGUUUUUUGUUCUAAAAUAUGCAAUUAUCUUGUAUUAUUGUCACAAAUCCCAGUUUCCCAGUAUCCCUAACAUAUAUAAGAAGGAGAAAGAGCAUGUGUUGCUUGAAUGAACGAAACUUAGAUGGUAAAAUCAAUGCAUCAAUUUAGUGCUUUCAUAUAUAAUAAACGGAUUUGACGUUAUAUGUACUUAUUAUUUCCUGCCUGAUGUAUCAUACUUGGGUAUGUCAUAUUCUGCUAUUCAUUUAUUUUGGUUAAUUGUUUCUAUUUAGAAAUAUGAGACUUUUAUUCUGGAUGACAUCUGCGCUGACAAUAUGUACGCUGAAUGCAACCCAGCCAAGGCCUAACUAUCUUCUAAUAAUGGUUGAUGACCUCGGAAUUGGAGAUGUUGGCUGUUAUGGAAACUACACAAUUAGGUUUG
This 7266-nucleotide long non-coding RNA is filed under the name Pelobates cultripes (western spadefoot toad). The record is from RNAcentral. Lineage: Eukaryota; Metazoa; Chordata; Amphibia; Anura; Pelobatidae.